GUUGUUUUAACAGUUAUAGCAUAAAGAGAAAAUAAAUAAAUCAACAGGUUCGGAGUUGCUUCAGUUCACCAAUUAUCCUCAAAAAGAUUAUGCUGAUUUUUACGGUAACAUGGGCACGGACAGCAGAACAGAUGCAGUGGUGGAGGCCAAAGCAUCUCCUGUCACAGCCGGCUUAUCAACAGAUGCCCCUUUGUCGCUCUCUGCCAUGAGAUCACUGUGAAGCUCGAGCUUAGCGAUAUCGGUUUCGGUCCCCCACACGAGUGGAGGUUGUCAGAUGCAUCUGCUGUCCUGGUGUUUGAUUGCAAGUGAUUUUCCUAUCGGACCAAAGCACUCACGCAGCAGAGAAAGACAUGGAGAUCGACUGAGAGAUUCCUUUAAAACAAACAGGCUCACUAGGAGAGCGUCUUCAAAGACUUGGACUGUGUGUCACCAGUAUGAGGCUUGGCAACUGUCGAUAGGGCUGGUGAACAAAAUCAGGUAGGCAGGAGAAGAGAGAGCAGCUGGCAUAACAAUGUUGUGGCGUUUCUGACUGCGUGGGGUACAAUGAUGUCAGAGAGGAUGUUGAAAAUACCUGAAAGAAUAGGUGUUUGACCUGGACAGGAGAGGCGAAUUACACAUACAGAGGAUGGUUUAGUGAAUCAGUUAGUGGUGACAAAGAAAUCAUCCAUCUUUCUUUCCGCCUCUGACGACUUUGUUCCAGACUUGCACUCAAGGACCAGUGCUGGAGCCAAAAUAAUGGAAAGGAAAAAUACAUUUGGGAGAUGAGAGGAUGCAGGUAGUUGGCAUACGGGAGCUUUUUGUUGGCAAGAAUUGCUGUCGUUAGAGAGCACAGUGUAACUGCUCACUCCCAAUUUCAGCUCAUAGAGGGACGUGAAGCUCCGACAACAUAAUCAUCAUGUUCAAUGUUAUAAGCCAUAUACCGAAGGUUUCCAUGACUUUCCAGCUCUCUACUUCACAAGGUUUUAUUUGGUACAUUCUACCUCAGCAAAGAGACCAGUUGAUGUCAGCACACACAAGACACAAAUCCUGCAGCUGCUCCAUAACCGGUGUACAGCCCUGCAGCCAGUGCAAAGCAGGCUUUGUUUGCCACGUUCUUUGAACAGCCCACUCAAAGUCACAAAUCAAGGAACGACAUAAAUAAGGAUACGCGUGAAGGUCCCGGUCCUCUCAUAAAUGGGGAGGCUGUGUUGCCUCCUGCACAGUCAACGGGGAGGACGCCGUCUUCAAGCGGAGAACCGGACUCGCCAUGAGGAGAGCGCGCGGAGCGUCCGGCCGGCCGGAGCCGCCGCGCAGGUAGCGAGGGCGCAGCCGGACGACGAGCGCGAUUCGCCGCCGAGCCCAAGGACGUACGAGGCGGCCAGACUCAGCCGA
Molecule: long non-coding RNA, 1371 nt
Organism: Gasterosteus aculeatus aculeatus (three-spined stickleback)
Lineage: Eukaryota; Metazoa; Chordata; Actinopteri; Perciformes; Gasterosteidae
Source: Ensembl